AAAUUGAAGAGUUUGAUCAUGGCUCAGAUUGAACGCUGGCGGCAGGCCUAACACAUGCAAGUCGAACGGUAACAGGAAGCAGCUUGCUGCUUUGCUGACGAGUGGCGGACGGGUGAGUAAUGUCUGGGAAACUGCCUGAUGGAGGGGGAUAACUACUGGAAACGGUGGCUAAUACCGCAUAACGUCGCAAGACCAAAGAGGGGGACCUUCGGGCCUCUUGCCAUCAGAUGUGCCCAGAUGGGAUUAGCUUGUUGGUGAGGUAACGGCUCACCAAGGCGACGAUCCCUAGCUGGUCUGAGAGGAUGACCAGCCACACUGGAACUGAGACACGGUCCAGACUCCUACGGGAGGCAGCAGUGGGGAAUAUUGCACAAUGGGCGCAAGCCUGAUGCAGCCAUGCCGCGUGUAUGAAGAAGGCCUUCGGGUUGUAAAGUACUUUCAGCGGGGAGGAAGGUGUUGCGGUUAAUAACCGCAGCAAUUGACGUUACCCGCAGAAGAAGCACCGGCUAACUCCGUGCCAGCAGCCGCGGUAAUACGGAGGGUGCAAGCGUUAAUCGGAAUUACUGGGCGUAAAGCGCACGCAGGCGGUCUGUCAAGUCGGAUGUGAAAUCCCCGGGCUCAACCUGGGAACUGCAUUCGAAACUGGCAGGCUUGAGUCUUGUAGAGGGGGGUAGAAUUCCAGGUGUAGCGGUGAAAUGCGUAGAGAUCUGGAGGAAUACCGGUGGCGAAGGCGGCCCCCUGGACAAAGACUGACGCUCAGGUGCGAAAGCGUGGGGAGCAAACAGGAUUAGAUACCCUGGUAGUCCACGCCGUAAACGAUGUCUACUUGGAGGUUGUGCCCUUGAGGCGUGGCUUCCGGAGCUAACGCGUUAAGUAGACCGCCUGGGGAGUACGGCCGCAAGGUUAAAACUCAAAUGAAUUGACGGGGGCCCGCACAAGCGGUGGAGCAUGUGGUUUAAUUCGAUGCAACGCGAAGAACCUUACCUGGUCUUGACAUCCACAGAACUUUCCAGAGAUGGAUUGGUGCCUUCGGGAACUGUGAGACAGGUGCUGCAUGGCUGUCGUCAGCUCGUGUUGUGAAAUGUUGGGUUAAGUCCCGCAACGAGCGCAACCCUUAUCCUUUGUUGCCAGCGAUUAGGUCGGGAACUCAAAGGAGACUGCCAGUGAUAAACUGGAGGAAGGUGGGGAUGACGUCAAGUCAUCAUGGCCCUUACGACCAGGGCUACACACGUGCUACAAUGGCGCAUACAAAGAGAAGCGACCUCGCGAGAGCAAGCGGACCUCAUAAAGUGCGUCGUAGUCCGGAUUGGAGUCUGCAACUCGACUCCAUGAAGUCGGAAUCGCUAGUAAUCGUGGAUCAGAAUGCCACGGUGAAUACGUUCCCGGGCCUUGUACACACCGCCCGUCACACCAUGGGAGUGGGUUGCAAAAGAAGUAGGUAGCUUAACCUUCGGGAGGGCGCUUACCACUUUGUGAUUCAUGACUGGGGUGAAGUCGUAACAAGGUAACCGUAGGGGAACCUGCGGUUGGAUCACCUCCUUAC
This 1543-nucleotide ribosomal RNA is filed under the name Salmonella enterica subsp. enterica serovar Typhimurium str. LT2. RNAcentral's name for it is "16S ribosomal RNA". It matches the Rfam family "Bacterial small subunit ribosomal RNA". The record is from RNAcentral. Lineage: Bacteria; Pseudomonadati; Pseudomonadota; Gammaproteobacteria; Enterobacterales; Enterobacteriaceae.